GAUGAACGCUGGCGGCGUGCCUAAUACAUGCAAGUCGAGCGAACGGACGAGAAGCUUGCUUCUCUGAUGUUAGCGGCGGACGGGUGAGUAACACGUGGAUAACCUACCUAUAAGACUGGGAUAACUUCGGGAAACCGUAGCUAAUACCGGAUAAUAUUUUGAACCGCAUGGUUCAAAAGUGAAAGACGGUCUUGCUGUCACUUAUAGAUGGACCCGCGCUGCAUUAGCUAGUUGGUAAGGUAACGGCUUACCAAGGCAACGAUGCAUAGCCGACCUGAGAGGGUGAUCGGCCACACUGGAACUGAGACACGGUCCAGACUCCUACGGGAGGCAGCAGUAGGGAAUCUUCCGCAAUGGGCGAAAGCCUGACGGAGCAACGCCGCGUGAGUGAUGAAGGUCUUCGGAUCGUAAAACUCUGUUAUUAGGGAAGAACAUAUGUGUAAGUAACUGUGCACAUCUUGACGGUACCUAAUCAGAAAGACACGGCUAACUACGUG
RNAcentral lists this ribosomal RNA (497 nucleotides) under uncultured bacterium. RNAcentral's name for it is "partial 16S ribosomal RNA". It matches the Rfam family "Bacterial small subunit ribosomal RNA", at positions 28 to 507 of the family's 1533-position model. The record is from RNAcentral.